This 510-nucleotide ribosomal RNA is filed under the name uncultured bacterium. RNAcentral describes it as "partial 16S ribosomal RNA". It matches the Rfam family "Bacterial small subunit ribosomal RNA", at positions 28 to 507 of the family's 1533-position model. The record is from RNAcentral.
GACGAACGCUGGCGGCGUGCUUAACACAUGCAAGUCGAACGAAGAGCGAUGGAAGCUUGCUUCUAUCAAUCUUAGUGGCGAACGGGUGAGUAACGCGUAAUCAACCUGCCCUUCAGAGGGGGACAACAGUUGGAAACGACUUCUAAUACCGCAUACGAUCUAAUCUCGGCAUCGAGGAUAGAUGAAAGGUGGCCUCUACAUGUAAGCUAUCACUGAAGGAGGGGAUUGCGUCUGAUUAGCUAGUUGGAGGGGGAACGGCCCACCAAGGCGAUGAUCAGUAGCCGGUCUGAGAGGAUGAACGGCCACAUUGGGAAUGAGACACGGCCCAGACUCCUACGGGAGGCAGCAGUGGGGAAUCUUCCGCAAUGGACGAAAGGCUGACGGAGCAACGCCGCGUGAGGGAUGACGGCCUUCGGGUUGUAAAGCUCUGUUAAUCGGGACGAAAGGCCUUCUUGCGAAUAGUGAGAAGGAUUGACGGUACCGGAAUAGAAAGCCACGGCUAACUACGUG